CCUACGGGUGGCAGCAGUAGGGAAUAUUCCACAAUGGGCGAAAGCCUGAUGGAGCAACGCCGCGUGGGUGAAGAAGGUCUUCGGAUUGUAAAACCCUGUUGUUAGAGAAGAAAGUGCGUGAGAGUAACUGUUCACGUUUCGACGGUAUCUAACCAGAAAGCCACGGCUAACUACGUGCCAGCAGCCCCGGGAAUACGUAGGUGGCAAGCGUUAUCCGGAUUUAUUGGGCGUAAAGGGAACGCAGGUGGUCUUUUAAGUCUGAUGUGAAAGCCUUCGGCUUAACCGUAGUAGUGCAUUGGAGACUGGCAGACUUGAGUGCAGAAGAGGUGAGUGGAACUCGAGGUGUAGCGGUGAAAUGCGUAGAUAUAUGGAAGAACACCAGUGGCGAAGGCGGCUCUCUGGUCUGUAACUGACGCUGAGGUUCGAAAGCGUGGGUAGCAAACAGGAUUAGAUACCCUAGUAGUC
This 465-nucleotide ribosomal RNA is filed under the name uncultured bacterium. RNAcentral describes it as "partial 16S ribosomal RNA". It matches the Rfam family "Bacterial small subunit ribosomal RNA", at positions 338 to 795 of the family's 1533-position model. The record is from RNAcentral.